AGCAAGAGAAGGGGUUGCAGUACAAAAGCUUGUACUUCAGUUGAUGUACUGCAAGAACAAAUCUUAACUAUAAAUUCAUGUAAGCUUGCCUAGCGAAAACAAUUGAACAUUCAUCUAAGCCUUAUCUCCUCCAGCACCGAAAUUCUCACAGAAUCGAUGUUGCUCUCACACCAAACCAAGCAAUUGGCUGAAGUGGCUGAAGCAGUAGUCUAAGGAUGCCAAUUUUGAGCGGCUUUCCUAGCAAACUCUGGCUUAUUUCCUUUUGCUUGGUUACUAUAAGAAACAGAAAAAAAUACAAAAUUAUUGUUUUACUGUCUCAAUCACAAAUCUUAAACAGUAAAAAUCUUUGGAAACAAACUCAUCCAGUGAGAGUUUGAUCAAUUUUAUAUUGAAUUUUUCAGUUAUAUAAUCUGAUAAGCAAAUAUAGUAAUUUUUUUUUGUGAGGCAUAUAAUUAUUCACAUGUCUAUUCUGAAUACAAUUGUUGAUCAUGAAGAAAUGCCAAAACUUUUAGCUUCUAAUUAAACCAGGGAUUAAUUUAACUUGUCUCUUGCGUUAUCAAUGCUAAUUAGGUACGAGUCAAGCCAUGAUCUCUUCCCUCUACUUUAUGAGUUGUAAACCAAUUCCAUCAACGUAGGGGAGCAUCCCGAGCUGCUGUCAAUCGAAAAGAAAAGUACAAUUUCUCUCUCUGGAUUCUUUUAGAGGAUUAGAGGAAAGUGGCAAAAUUUUGAAUGGGCUCAUCUCUGCUGGCUCUGCAGUAUUCCACUAAGUUUUCAUGUGCCUGUGUUUCUCGUGGACCCCAAAAUUAAAUACAGGUAAACUUCUCUUUCCUGUGUUUGGUGAUACAUUUUCCCUUUUGUUUCCUCCAUUUAUUACAUUCAAUGGCUUGUCUAUGCUAGUGGGAUUUGAUAGCAUAGGGAUGAUACGGGUGUCAAAUUGCACAGACUUCGGAGGAUAGUUUUUUGAUCUUGAUGUACUACUAAUUUUGUUUUUAUUAAUUAUUAAAUUAUUUGAGGUAAUAAAUUUUUGUUUUUCAUUAA
Molecule: long non-coding RNA, 1038 nt
Organism: Theobroma umbraticum
Lineage: Eukaryota; Viridiplantae; Streptophyta; Magnoliopsida; Malvales; Malvaceae
Source: RefSeq, a predicted model, not a curated record